GAUGAACGCUGGCGGCGUGCCUAAUACAUGCAAGUCGAGCGAACAGACGAGGAGCUUGCUCCUCUGACGUUAGCGGCGGACGGGUGAGUAACACGUGGAUAACCUACCUAUAAGACUGGGAUAACUUCGGGAAACCGGAGCUAAUACCGGAUAAUAUAUUGAACCGCAUGGUUCAAUAGUGAAAGACGGUUUUGCUGUCACUUAUAGAUGGAUCCGCGCCGCAUUAGCUAGUUGGUAAGGUAACGGCUUACCAAGGCGACGAUGCGUAGCCGACCUGAGAGGGUGAUCGGCCACACUGGAACUGGGACGCGGUCCAGACUCCUACGGGAGGCAGCAGUAGGGAAUCUUCCGCAAUGGGCGAAAGCUUGACGGAGCAACGCCGCGUGAGUGAUGAAGGUCUUCGGAUCGUAAAACUCUGUUAUUAGGGAAGAACAAAUGUGUAAGUAACUAUGCACGUCUUGACGGUACCUAAUCAGAAAGCCACGGCUAACUACGUG
This 497-nucleotide ribosomal RNA is filed under the name uncultured bacterium. Its description in RNAcentral is "partial 16S ribosomal RNA". It matches the Rfam family "Bacterial small subunit ribosomal RNA", at positions 28 to 507 of the family's 1533-position model. The record is from RNAcentral.